This 712-nucleotide ribosomal RNA is filed under the name uncultured Bacilli bacterium. RNAcentral describes it as "bacterial SSU rRNA". It matches the Rfam family "Bacterial small subunit ribosomal RNA", at positions 64 to 745 of the family's 1533-position model. Lineage: Bacteria; Bacillati; Bacillota; Bacilli. The record is from RNAcentral.
GAACGAAACUUUCUUACACCGAAUGCUUGCAUUCAUCGUAAGAAGUUGAGUGGCGGACGGGUGAGUAACACGUGGGUAACCUGCCUAAAAGAAGGGGAUAACACUUGGAAAUAGGUGCUAAUACCGUAUAUCUCUAAAGAUCGCAUGAUCUUUAGAUGAAAGAUGGUUCUGCUAUCGCUUUUAGAUGGACCCGCGGCGUAUUAACUAGUUGGUGGGGUAACGGCCUACCAAGGUGAUGAUACGUAGCCGAACUGAGAGGUUGAUCGGCCACAUUGGGACUGAGACACGGCCCAAACUCCUACGGGAGGCAGCAGUAGGGAAUCUUCCACAAUGGACGCAAGUCUGAUGGAGCAACGCCGCGUGAGUGAAGAAGGUCUUCGGAUCGUAAAACUCUGUUGUUAGAGAAGAACACGAGUGAGAGUAACUGUUCAUUCGAUGACGGUAUCUAACCAGCAAGUCACGGCUAACUACGUGCCAGCAGCCGCGGUAAUACGUAGGUGGCAAGCGUUGUCCGGAUUUAUUGGGCGUAAAGGGAACGCAGGCGGUCUUUUAAGUCUGAUGUGAAAGCCUUCGGCUUAACCGGAGUAGUGCAUUGGAAACUGGAAGACUUGAGUGCAGAAGAGGAGAGUGGAACUCCAUGUGUAGCGGUGAAAUGCGUAGAUAUAUGGAAGAACACCAGUGGCGAAAGCGGCUCUCUGGUCUGUAACUGACG